CGGGGUGUGGUACAACGGCAGUAUACAUGCUUUGGGAGCAUGGGAUCUGAGUUCAAUUCUCAGCACCCCGA
Molecule: transfer RNA, 71 nt
Filed under: bacterium
Lineage: Bacteria
Description: tRNA-Pro
Rfam family: tRNA
About the family: Transfer RNA (tRNA) molecules are approximately 80 nucleotides in length.
Source: RNAcentral